CGAGACGGCGAUUCAGAAGGACACGUCUAGAACGCCGGUCAUCGGCGGCGGCGUUCAUCCACUCACACGUUACGUCAUGAACUACCUCUCGUUCCUCGUCGAUUACAGCGAGUCUAUCGCUGUAAUCUUCGAGAACUGGCAGCCGACCUUGCUGCCGUCCUCUUGCGGCGGAGAGGAGGAUGCUUAUCCGGAGGAGCUCUACUCCUCUCCGGUGUCCGUGCGAAUCGCGUGGGUGAUUCUUCUCACUCUUUGCAAGAUCGACGGCAAAGCUCAGCCGUAUAAAGACGUGGCUCUGUCUUACCUCUUCCUCGCUAAUAAUCUCCAAUACGUCGUCGUAAAGGUUCGAACGUCUAACGUGAAGCUCCUCCUCGGGGAGGAUUGGGUGGUGAGGCACGAGGGGAAGGUGAAGCAGUACGCGGAUAAGUUCGAGAAGCUCGCGUGGGGGAAAGUGCUGACGUCGUUACCGGAAUAUAAGGCGGAGGAGAUCACACCGGAGGAGGCUAAGGAGUUGUUAGUCAGGUUCGACGACGAGUUCGAGGCGUCGUACCGGAAGCAAAUAUCGUGGGUCAUACCCGACCCAAAACUUAGGGACUGGAUCAAAGUCUCGUUGAGUCAUAAACUGAUGCUGGUUUGUACCGAGUUAUACGAGAUAAACCGGUUCGGUUCGGGAGGAGAUGGGUUUAAUGUCAGAUAUACCUCUGAAGAUAUAGGAAAUUACUUGUCGGAUCUUUACUUUGGAAGCAGAGGGUCCGGGUCAGGGAGUGUCUCGACUAAAGGAUCCGGAUCCGGAACCGGAACCGGUUCGUCGAGUACCGGUAAAUCUCGGGGAGGACGUAGCCAUUGAAUGAGAAUCAUGCAUGAUCCUAUCGUUUUCUUCUUUUUUGUACAUAUAUGCUAAAUUAAUAUUGACUGAAUUCUCCAUUCUAUCAUUUAGUAAUCCUUCUUUUUUUAUUUUUGGAAUUUUGUGUUAAUAAACGACAAAAUAAAAUACGAUGAUUAUAUCCGACGCUUGGAGAUUUAAUAAGAACAAAGACGAGUUAUAAGUAGCUAUCACUCAUCACUAAUUGCUAGUUGUAAUUUGGAAUUGUGUUUCCAGUCUUGACUAAUUGUGAUUUGGUGGUUUAUAUAACUCCAAGUUGGUUAAUACGAGUUCACAUGGUUAUGAGACAAUACAAGUAAAAGAAUAUUAAAUACGAAUUCAAUGACACAUUGCUUACCGAAUAAGCACGGAGCAUUGCAUUAAAUUUGUAAGUUGUUAACGAGACAGAGAGGUUGAGAACGAUCACGAAUCUUAUCAUACUACUCAUUAAUGUUUCUUGUUAGGCGACUUGGUAUAUUCAACCUCACGUUGUAAUUUUAUAUAAACGUCAAAGAUAUCUAAUCUUAUAUAAAUCAAAGAUAUUCAAGUCCUCGCGUUAUAUUUCUUUUGCAAUUGUCCAUAUGUCUAAACUAAAUUUUGAUCGAUAGAAAUGUCAUUCCCAAGAAUAAUUAUAUCUGAUAAUGUUUAGUUUACAUGAAAAGAAAUUAAAACAUCCCAAUCUUUUUUUGCUAGUGAAUCUGUGUGAAUCAUCCCUGCUCAUGGAGAUAUGGAUCACUAGGCCUGAGCGUUUUUAACUCAACCCGAAGUACCUACCUAGAUCUGAACCGGAAAAACCGAAACCGAAUCCGAACUGUUAUACAAAAAUAUCCGAACGGGACUUAUGAGCUUAGUACUUUGGUGUUUGGUUAUAAUCCGAACCGAACCGACAUCCGAACUAGGAUCCGAAGAUAUCUGAAAUUAGUUAAAUAUGUUAAUAUUUUUAUAUAUUUAAGAUGAUUUAGAUAUUUUAGGAUAUUCAAAAUAUUUUUUUAGUUUGUUUUAAUUGUUAUUUUGAAUACUUUUUAGUUAAUUUAGAUAGUUUAACUAAUUUUUAAUUAGAUUUGUAAACAAUUUAUAUAUUUUGAAAACAAAAUUGUCAAUUUUUAAGGUUUAAAAAAAAUAUUUUUGGACGAUUUUAAACAUUGGUUACAUCCGAUCCGAUCCGAUCCGAAUCCGAAAGGAACCGAACCGAAAUCGAUCCGAUAAUUAGUAAAACUCGAAUGGUACUUCUGAGCAUAACACCGAAAAUUCGAAAAUCUGAAUUAUCCAGACCGAAACCGAACGGUCCAUCGAACGCCCAUGCCUAGUUGGACUAGUCAUCAGUUCAGUUUCUAGACAAAUAUUUUGGCUUCAACACUUUCGAUUAACAAAAAAAAAUUAUAUCUUAGUAGAUAUCUUAACUAUUAUACUACUUUUGUUUUGCCUUCAAUUAAAAAGAAGAACCAAUGUAAAAAAAAAAACUUUGAUAAAAAUGCAAUAAAUUUUUUUAUAUAAUAUAAUGUUUGGUCUUCAGUAACAGUUGCCCAAUACAAUUUCUCAAAAAUAAAUAGUAGAUUUAUUACUAAAAUGAAAUAUUGAUGGUAAUGGUAACUAAUAAGGGAAUCUUUAGUAAUUAAACCGGUUUGACCGGAAGUAGUUGUAAACCGAUAGUUAGAUAUGAUAUAUAAACCGAUUUCCAAAAACGCUCGUGGAGAGAUAUCUUUCUUCUUCUUCUUCUCUACCGAAACGCGUGAAGAGGAGUGAGUUUCUGCGGAUCUGAAUCGAAGCAAGGUAGCAAUCAUGGGUUGGAUCGGAGAAACAGUAGACUCGAUCAAAUCAAUCAAGAUCCGUCAGCUUCUCACCCAGGCCAUCACGCUCGGUUCGUUUCGAUUUCACUGAUUCAAACCUCAAUUGUUAUUUGGAUUCAGUCGUGUUAAUGAAUUAAAGGGUUUUGGCUUUGAUUGGGGUUUAAGGUAUGAUCGUGACGUCUGCAUUGAUAAUAUGGAAGUGUUUGAUGUGUGUGACUGGCACUGAGUCUCCAGUGGUCGUUGUUCUCUCGGGAAGCAUGGAACCUGGCUUUAAGAGAGUAAAGUUUCAACCUUUUUGUGUUAGUAAUGAGAUUUAAACGAAAUGAGUUUGUAAUCAGUUUUGAGGGCAUGUGUGACAGGGGGAUAUAUUGUUCUUGCACAUGACCAAGGAGCCUAUUCGAGCAGGCGAGAUUGUUGUUUUCAAUGUUGAUGUAAGUCACAGGCUUACAGCUUUCUUGUUCUUGCCUGUCUCUUGAUUGGUUUAGUUUUAUUGAUUAUGUUUCUUCUUUUUCAGGGUCGUGACAUUCCCAUCGUCCAUCGUGCCAUCAAAGUAAUGUUUUUCUCUUUUUCAUCAUGUCUGGAGAUUAGUUAGAGGAUUUUUCAGCAUUGUUAAGAUAUUACUAUCACAUUACAGGUUCAUGAGAGGGAAAACACUGGACAUGUUGAUGUUCUAACAAAAGGUUCUAGCUUCGUUUCUGAAACGUUAACCCUCUGUAUCACAUCUAUUACUUAUCACACCUUUGGAUUGUUCCAGGUGACAACAAUGACGUGGAUGACAUUGGUCUCUAUGCUGAUGGACAGUUUUGGCUUCAUAGGCACCAUAUAAUGGGCAGAGCUGUUGGGUGAGUACUCUAAAUUCAACAACUGUUUCCUGCCAGACAUACCAAUAGAAACAACACAUAUGAUCUCAUCUUAUGAAACUGUUACUUCUUAGGUUCUUGCCUUAUGUUGGAUGGGUCACUAUUAUCAUGUCAGAGAAGCCUAUCAUCAAGGUACGACCUUCUAACACCGCCUGCAAUUUGUUAUGUCAUGGUUUUUGACUUGAGAUGUGUAUACAUACUUACUAUAAGAUCUUGUUUCUCUUCUCUCUUCUUUCAGUAUAUACUCAUUGGUGCAUUGGGUUUGCUCGUUAUAACAUCCAAAGACUGAGACAACAUACAAAUAAGCAUGUCUGUGGUCAGGGAAGUGGCUUCUUCAACUGCAACCCUCAUCAUCAUAUUUUUUGUCAUGUCCUUAAACCUAAUAACAAAUCAGAUUUUAUAAUUUAUACAAUUUUGCCUUUUAAGUCAGCAAUGAUUUCUUUUGUGACAGUUUCCGAUAGCUUGAGUUCUGAAGGGAUGUACUAGUUUUUUCAAUUCCAAACUAGCAGGGCGAUAAGAGUAUACAGUAAACCUAGGUGUAGAAAUCUUAACCAAUAGGCUUAGGUAUUUCCUCAUCGGAAUUUAGAAGGAUUUUAAGUGAUACAUAAAGGGAUAUAUGUGUCAAUCCAUUUAUCACAAAUGAUUAUAAAAUAAAAAUUCAUCAAAUUUAAUAUGAUAUUUAGAGUCGAAACGUUUCUCUAAUAUGUCUUCCAAGUAAAAGAUGGUUUACCUUGAUGAGAUUAGGCCAUGGAAGACGAAAUGGUUGGUCGAAGCCAAAGUUACCACACCUGGAAACCAUCUAAUGUUGGGCUUGGUGAGAGUUUAGAAAUCAUAUUUGCAUACAAAAAGGUAAUAAAAACAAUAACAUGGAAAUUCUGUUAAGUCUUCAUAGUAUAUAGAUUCCUAAAAUUUUGACCAAAUGAAAAAAUGAAUGGAUACAAUUAAAACAUUUAUGGAUGUAAUCAGUAGAAUACUUAUCUUCGUACUGAUUGUUUGUAGUGCACAGCGUACAUGACAACUGGAUUGUUUGAUAAUGUUUGUGAUAUAUAUAAUUUGAUAAUGUUUGUGAUAUUACGGCUAAAUUCUUUAUUAGCAUAAAUUCAUUUGUGAUUUUGAUUUUUGUCAUGUACAAAUAAAAGAAAAAUAUUUUAGGUUAAGAAUAUGAUUGUCUAACAUUAAAUAUAUAUAAAAUAUUUAACAUAAGUAUAUAAUUUAUAUUUUAUGGUAUAUUUUCAAAGAUGUUUUACCUUUAAUUUAAUUUUAAUAUUAUAAUAAUUUGUAUUUGGAUCAAUAUUUCCACUAAGAAUCAAUAAACUGGUCAUAAUAUUAUUCAUUAAAAUCACAAACUAAAUAAGAGAUAAACGUAAUUAUGAUAUUAUUAGCAGAUAUUGUUAAUAUAUAUUACUAAUUAAAUGUCCUAAUAAUAUAUAUAUAUAUAUAUUUUAAAUAUAGUAUAUAUCAGUAGAAUAGGAUAAUGUUUAUUAAUAUUUUAAAUAUCAUGAAAAUAUAUAUAUUAAAAUUAAUUUUAAAUAAUAAUAUUAAAGAAACUAAUAACUUAUCCUAUAAUCAUAGAGAAAUAGACAAAUAAGCAAAUUUAUUUUUCAAAAACUAGUAUAGAUCUGAUGAUAUUGUCAUUAUGGAGAAUCAAAAUAUAAUCUCCGUUUGGUGCUUUUAGAUGCACACAUUAUUUAUAGGGUUAUAAAAAGCCAUGCUCAUCCCAUUCUGAAAAUACACAUCCAAUACAAACAAUACAAAUUGUUGUAUUUCCAUCUUGUAAAUUUGGGACCUCCAGGGAAAAGUACCGGUUGAAAAUUCUGACAGAGGAAACAGCUUCACCUUUCAAAGUCAUACCUCUUCUAGAUAUUUUUACAAUGGAAAUAUGGUUGACAUGUUUGUUAAUCCUUGGCAUUGUAGUGGGCGUCAUACUACUUGUGUUACUUUGCUAUUGCGAGUUUACCAAGAAAAGUAAUAACGACGACGACAAAUCUGAUGGAAGUGCAUAAAAGAGACAUAUAUACUUUUAAGAAACUCACAGUUUCUUUUUAAAAAAAUAUUUAUAUUUAUGAAAUAUAUUUUUUGGUUAGUUAUUUAUAAUUCUCAGUUUGGAUAAUAAUAAAAGAUGAAAUUGGUUAAAAAAUAAUAAUAUGAUAUUAGAGUUUAAUCAAAUAAUCCAACUUAAUUUAUAAUUGAUAUAACUCAAAAGUUGGUCCAUUGAUCAUUGUUAAACAUUUCAAUAUUAAUUGUCAAAAACAAAUAUCUCGAAGGGAUGUACUUGAGACAACGUCCCAAAUUGAAAAAUUGGAAGAAUCUUACGUAAUAUGUAAAAGAUAUGUGCUAAUCCCAUUUCUACCAUAUAGUUUAGGUUUCAUUGAAACCUAUCUAAAUUAAUAUUAUGAACUUCCCAAAUACUUUCUUCAGCUCUUCCUCUUUCGAGUCCCUGAGAAAGUGAGAAGUUAGCUUUGGCUUGCAAAUGCCUUUCUACUUAAGAACAAAGUUUCAUGCAUUCCUUUCUUGAUGCAUGAUUUUGAGUCUACUGACAUGAUAACCAUAUACAUUCAACGAACGCGAUUUUCAUUAGUUUAUAAUUCAUAACUUUGUCAAAGCAGCCGAUUAAUUUAUCUUAACAUUAAUCACUUAAUCACACGAUCGAAUAAAAAAUGUGAUAAGGAAAUCUUAAAGAUCCUUCAACAACUAACACUCCCAUAAAUAAACAAAAACACAACGUGCGGGUCAGUAUGAGUACUAGCCAUGGCUAACACGUUCCUCUCUAUACAUAUGGUUAUAAGUUAUAACCUGCACCUUAUUUGUCAUUUGAGAGAUUAGUUCGUGGCAUUAAAGAAAAAAAGAUGGGGAAAGAUUUCAAAAGCAUGGUCACAAGAUGCAUCUACGUAUCAAAAGAGAACGAUAACGCCAAGAAGCUGAAAACCAUAACUGAGGAGCUCAGGGAUCUACACAACAGUGUCAUGAAACGAGUCAAAAUGUACGAAGAUCAGCAGAAGCUGAAGCGGCUCGAGAAAGUCCAGGUGUGGCUAAGACAAUCCGACGCAGCCAUCAAAGAGGCAGAAGAGAUGUUGAUGAUGUACAUGCCUUCUUCUGCAUCGAAUGGAUCAAACGUGAUGAUGAGUAGUAGUCACAAGAUAGACAAGAAGAUUAGCAAGAUGCUGAAAGAGGUUCAGGAGAUAAAGAGCCGAGGAACAUUUGAUGUGGUGGUUGAAAACAGUGGCGUUGGUAGUGGUGGGUCGAUGAUGAUCUCGACCGUUGAUAGAGAUGAUCAGACGGUUGGUUUAGAAGCGGUUUCAGGGUUGGUGUGGAGGUGCUUGACGGUGGAUAACACUGGGAUUAUUGGGUUGUACGGUGUGGAAGGUGUUGGGAAGACGACGGUGUUGACUCAGGUUAACAACAGGUUGCUUCAGCACAAGUCAAACGGGUUUGACUUUGUGAUUUGGGUGUUUGUGUCCAAGAAUCUGAAUCUUGAGAAGAUUCAAGACACGAUUCGGGAGAAGAUAGGGUUUCUUGAUAGGUCGUGGACGAACAAGACCGAGGAAGAGAAAGCCGGUAAGAUCUUUGAGAUACUUAGCAAGAAACGGUUUGCUUUGUUUCUUGACGACGUUUGGGAGAAAGUUGAUCUAGGUAAUAACAAAGCAUUACUUGUGACCCAAGAAAGAUCAAGACUUGUGGCCCAAGUUUCUUUAGUUAACUUUUAAGAUUUCAAAUUUUGAACAGUGAAAGCUGGCGUGCCGCCACCCGAUGGACAGAACAGGUCGAAGAUUGUGUUCACGACCUGUUCAGACGAUGUUUGUCGGGAAAUGGGAACACAAACGAAGAUCAAGAUGGAGAAGCUGUCAUGGGAGAGAGCUUGGGACUUGUUUAAGAAGAAUGCUGGAGAAGAGACGGUGAAGAGCCACCCGGACAUAGCCAAGGUGGCUCAGGAGGUUGCAGCCAAGUGCGAUGGCCUCCCAUUGGCUCUGGUCACAAUAGGCCGAGCAAUGGCCUCUAAGAAAACACCUCAGGAAUGGCGUGACGCUUUGUACAUUUUGAGUAACUCCCCUCCAAAUUUUUCAGGUCCAAUUCUGUUAACUUCAAAUAUCCUUUGUUUAGUACUGCUACAUUUUAAAUUUCUUUUUAAAGUAUUUCUAACUAACAUUUCAUUUAAUCGUGUAACAGUUCUCAAGUUGCUGGACAGGAACUAGUUGAUGUGCACUCGAGGUAUUUAUUUUUUUGGCAUAUUUUUAAAAUGAAUAAAGAAAAUUUGUAAAUCAUUUCCCACGUACAAACUCUUUUUUUUUUUUCAUGUAGGAACAAUCUUGCUGUGCAUGAGAGCAAAAAGAUAGCUGCGUACAUUUUGAUUAGGGAGAUUAAUGAUUGUAAUUCAUUUGUGUAUCUUAUUUGAGAUUUUAUGUCUUCUUUAUGUCACCGGCUAGAGUUUGAAGAAUUUGGUUGAAGGCUUGGAAUGUUUUGAACUUUUGGUGGUUAAUUAUUGGUUUUGUAUUUAAUUUAUUUUAACCGAAAAGGUUUGGUUCAAAAAAAAAAAAAAGGUUUGGUUCUCUUGAAUACAUAUCUAGAUAAAUGAUUUCUAUCUAAAAGGAGAGUUAGGUGCUAUUUAGCCUUGCUUUCCGCAAUUAUUGAUCCUCCUGAAGGAUAUAUGCUUGGCUAAAGGGAGUUAGGCAGCUAUUUAGGCCAUAAUUGUACUCUUUCCUCUGAUAUAUCAACUCACAUAAAAAGAAGAUUAUUCAUAUGAUAUGUUGUCUUCAUCACGGCACAUACUUUUAUAUCUUUUGUUGUCUUCAUCACGGCACAGACUUUAUUUUCUGGAAGCUUCAAAUUAUCAACUCAUGUUAAAUUGUGAAGAAAGAAGAAUUUUCAAUGUUUAUUAUUCUACGUUACAGUGAAGAAGUAUACAUGUUCUUAAAAGUGGAUCUGUGAAGAAUUCUAAAAUAGCUAAUACUAAAAAUUAGUAUUUCAAAAGUAGAAUACUUCACAGAUAGAUAAACGUGUUCUAAACAAACAUCUUUGCGUAUCUUAGGUCUAGCAUUAUAUACAAUAAUGUUUAUCUUAAUCCAAAAAGCUUAAUCUAUCAAAAGUUCAUUGUAUCUAGAUCCAUUUCUGUUUGACAAAAAGAAAAAUCUAGAGCCAUCUUCAUACCUACAUCCUACUAUAUAAUAACAGCUAAAUUGGAGCAUUUUAAGCUAUGCUACAUAGGCACAAAUAUUCUCAUCCAACCAAACUGCCAUGUCAUUCCGGACUGAGCUUGGAUUUUUAAAAAAUUAAUCAGCUUCACAGUCCUUUUGACCCAUCGUGCAGCUGUCUCGAUCCCGUUUCGCAGCCCAGCCCAUUUGCCCAGCCCUUUGUCGAUCCAAUUUCAUUCGCAGGCCCAGCCUAUUUUUUAUACAUAUAGCAAGUUUAUUGUUCCAUAUAUGAUUCUUAGUAUUUGAAUAAACAUAUAACAUAUAAAUCUAAUAAUAUUAAAAUAUAUUUUGUUUUUGUUAAGGGUAAUAGAACAUCUGACCUGAAAACUGAAGAACUAAAAUAUAAAAAAUGAAAAUUAUAUGAUAUUCAUAAAAUUUUCCAUCUGCUUUGUCUUAAAAAAAAUUAAUUAUGUAACUAACAUUGCAUGAUGUUACGUACAAACUUUUGUUAGCUUUUAUUUUGUAGUUUUAUGAUAAUUACAAUAGUAUACAUAAUGAGAAUUAAUAAUAUAUAUAGAAAUUAUGUCGUUAGUUAUUGAAACUACUUUGAAAAUUUUAAAUAUUUAUUUUUUAUUUUAUACAAUUUUAAAUCUAAAUCCCAAAUCCCCACCCGUUAAUUAUAAUCCUAAAUAACCACAUCACACUAAAAUAUUUCAUUUUACUAAAUUUAAUAAGUAAAAUGACACUAAUACUCUAGAUAUAUUAAAAAUUACAUUGAAAGUGGAAUAAGCUUACAUUGAAAUGGCUGCCCCUUUCAUGCUUCUAAGGAAUUUAAAUCAAAAGAAAGGGUUAUGCAAUGGAACACGUCUGAUUGUUCCUUACCUAAGUGAACGUGUUAUUAGAGGUGAAAUAGUUACAGGCUCUCAUAUUGGACAUAAAGUGGACCUUCCAAGAAUCAUACUAUCGGAAUCAGUAACUAAACAUCCAUUCACCCUUGAAAGGCGGCAAUUUCCAAUCAGGCUAUGUUACGCAAUGACAAUUAACAAAAGUUAGGGUCAGAGUUUGAAAUGUGUCCUAUUAUAUUUGCCACAACCCGUUUUCACCCAUGAACAGCUCUAUGUUGGUUUUUACCGAGUUAUUACCCAGUCAGACCUCAAAAUUAUACAAGAAAAUGAUCAAAAGAUAGGAAGGGUUAAAAACAUAGUCUACAAAAAAAUAUACAACGGUCUACCUCGCUCCCCUAAAAAAAUAUUAUUUUGCAACACAAUUCACAACACAUUCCAAAAAUACUAAAUUCCUUUCUCUCUCCCCCAGAAUCACGAUCAGAUGCUCACCUAGAGCAGAUUCCCCGGAAUCACGAACAAAUUUCUAUACCAGUGCCGGUUCUUUGAAGAUUUACUAACCCCGACCCGUACCCGAUAAAACUCGAACCGGUCCCGAACCAAACUUUCAUAUAAUCCGAAUAGGGCUGAUUUUGAUAAACCCGAAAAACCGAAACCCGAUUGGAUAAAACCGAAACCCGAUUAGGACCCCGUAUGCCCAGGCCUAUCCACGACAAAAGAAAAUUACGGAUUGUAUUUUUUCCAGCUAGGUGGUAACCAACUUCAUGAACAAAUCAUUUGUAAAAUUAUUCUUCGCGCAUAUAAUUAAAUAUUCACGUUAAACUUUGUAACUUCCGUUUCAUUUGGUUGUCGGUUGAUUAGUACUGACAUUAUAUAUCAUUUCUUGUGAUUUUACAUAGAUAUAAGCAUAUAACUAAAACUAUAAGACAACUAGUCUCCGGAACAUCUAAACAAAUAGGAUUAGGAUACGACUAAUUAUAAUUGAAAUCACAAUGUAAAAGCUUAAAGUUAGCAUAUAUUAAAAAUGUUAAAACUGAAGAGUUUUUAAUCAUCAUAAUGUAUUUUUUGCUUCUAAGUUUGUAUUAGUUGACAAAAAAGAUUUGAGUAUUUAUGAAUAUUUAAAAUUUCAAAGACUAGUGACAUGUCUUGCGGUUAUAAACGUAUUUUUUUUUUGCUUAGUUAUAUUCCCUUUAUUGAUGAAUUUCAAAAUGUUUUCCGAUUAAAAUUUUGGUAUUGUGUUCUCAAUCAGGGUCUGUGUUAAGCAUAAUUUAUUAAAAAAAUGGAGAAAAAAUAGUCGUAUCAAGGCAGUUUAGUAUCUUUGAACUUUUGAAGCCUAUGGAUCUUUUUCAUUUAUGUGGCGGCAUGACGCAAAUUAACAUACAACAGGGAAACUUCCUCACACAUCUCCGUUUGCCAAAAUAGUGGAUAAAUCAUCUAACUAACUAACAUAUUGACUAUUGUAUUGUACAGUAGAAAGCUAAUUAACAGUUACAAACAUACUUGUUUAAUUUUCGUUAUAUCUGUUUACAGGGAAAAAUGGCAUGCAAAUAAAUGUAAACUGUCAAAGCGUAAUAAAAGUAUCAAUUUAUAACAGACGGACCAAUGAAUGUAAUACAAUUCGCAUCACAUAGGAUCAUCGUAUUUAGUGAAAUGUUAUUUUAUCGGAAAAAAUAUAAGAUAGAAAAAUUCCCAAAAAAUAUAUUUUUUAAAGUUUUUGUCGUAAAAUAACAAUGAAUAAAAUGAUCAAAAUAAGUUAUUUUUACCAUAUGGUUAAAUAAUCUAAUUUAGAUUUAGUGAUUAGAAUUAAAUAUGUGAGAUCUUGGGGAUAUGAUUUUAAAAUUUAAAAAAAAAUUAAAAACUAAAAAUUUUAAAAUAAAAAAAAAGUUAUUUUUAUCAUUUUUUUUAUUGAGAUUAAUUUUUGUGAUAAAAACUCAAAAAAUGUAGUUGAGAGAAUUGUCUUUUAUAAUUUUUAGGUUGAAGUUCAAACUGGUUGCCCAAAACAACUGUUUGGCACAGUUGGUAAAUAAAGUUAUUAACAUAAAAUUCAUCUCACGAAUUCAUAAAAUUACAUGCAUUCGUAUUUGCAACAUUUCUUUGGUGCAUGAAACUAUUAGAAAAUUACAACUAAUAGUAACUAGUAUAUUACUUUCUUUGCCAUUUUUUUGAUCAAAUAUAUUUGUUGCCAUAAAACUACAGUUAAUAACCUAGAAUCUAAAUCGCAUUUAAAAUAGAAACGGUAACUUAAGAAAAAAUCACAGCUGCAGAUGAACAAGGCAACUUUGGUCCGAAGUCUGACUUUAAACAAUGUCAUGUCGUAUGUGACAACCGCGUUUGACUAAUGAACAUUUCUCCUCCACACAACUACACAUUCACAUACAUAUACGCUAGGAUAUCUAUAUAAAUAGUAUUUUAACAUAUUUUAUAUACAUAUUCCUCUUUAUAUAUACCUCUACUGCUUUACUUGGAUUACAAACAACAAAGCAGAAGUUUAUUUUUCUGUUGAGUAACAAAAAAAGACAAAAGUAUACUCUUCACACGAAUACAGAGAGUCUUCGAAACGAAAUAAACAGAGUUUCAAGAAUGGGGAAACAACUGUUCCGAUCAUCUCCUCCACCGGAGAAACAGCCAGCUCACCAAUCGCUCGCCGAGACAGCUGUACAGGAGUGUACGAGCAGCAUCAACACCGUCAUAUCCAAAUGGACCUCCUCCUCCUCCAACGAGUUCCUCUUUUCCACCAACAGUCGCCACGAAGCAGAGGAGUUCGUUGAAGCCGUAAAACAUUUGCAAAGCACCAUGCACCGUUUGGUUUCCGUCAACGCGUCCUCGGAUAAGCUCGUGUACGCUCAUAAUCUGAUGCAGUCCGCGAUGAAGCUUCUCGAGUCCGAGUUUCGCCGCGUGUUGAACGCGAACCGGGACUAUCUAGACCCCGAAAGCGUCUCGGUACGGUCCUCUUACAGAUCGUCAAGAUUCAGCACUUCCACCACGACUAGCGUCUCCGACUCCGAAGACGAAAGCUCCCACGAGGAAAACCCCAACGAUCAUAGAUUCUCCGGCCAAGACUCAGACGCCAUGGACGAUCUAAAAACCAUCGCGGACUGUAUGAUCUCCACGGGAUACGCCAAGGAAUGCGUAACGGUUUACAAAACCGUGAGAAAAUCAAUAGUGGAGGAGACGCUAAACAACUUGGCGGUGGAGAGACUCACUCUCCAUCAGGUUCAGAAGAUGGACUGGGAGACUCUCGAGUCCAAGAUCAGGUCGUGGCUUCGAGCCGCGAAGCUAGCAGUUCGGUCCCUCUUUUUCGGCGAGAGGCUUCUCGCCGACCAUGUCUUCUCCUCCUCCGUCAACAUAGUCGAGUCCUCCUUCACGGACAUCACGCAAGAAGGAGCUUUAACGCUCUUCGCCUUCCCGGAAAACGCCGCGAAGAUCAAGAAACUCUCGCCGGAGAAGAUGUUCCGGUUCUUGGACAUGUACGAAACGCUCGCGAGUCUCUACGUUGAGAUCGAAACCAUCUUCUACUUCGACUCAGCCGCCGCCGUCAGGUCUCAGGUGAUCAGCUCUUUGGCCAGACUCGGCGACGCCGCGAGGACGAUGAUGACGGCGUUCGAGACGGCGAUUCAGAAGGACACGUCUAGAACGCCGGUCAUCGGCGGCGGCGUUCAUCCACUCACACGUUACGUCAUGAACUACCUCUCGUUCCUCGUCGAUUACAGCGAGUCUAUCGCUGUAAUCUUCGAGAACUGGCAGCCGACCUUGCUGCCGUCCUCUUGCGGCGGAGAGGAGGAUGCUUAUCCGGAGGAGCUCUACUCCUCUCCGGUGUCCGUGCGAAUCGCGUGGGUGAUUCUUCUCACUCUUUGCAAGAUCGACGGCAAAGCUCAGCCGUAUAAAGACGUGGCUCUGUCUUACCUCUUCCUCGCUAAUAAUCUCCAAUACGUCGUCGUAAAGGUUCGAACGUCUAACGUGAAGCUCCUCCUCGGGGAGGAUUGGGUGGUGAGGCACGAGGGGAAGGUGAAGCAGUACGCGGAUAAGUUCGAGAAGCUCGCGUGGGGGAAAGUGCUGACGUCGUUACCGGAAUAUAAGGCGGAGGAGAUCACACCGGAGGAGGCUAAGGAGUUGUUAGUCAGGUUCGACGACGAGUUCGAGGCGUCGUACCGGAAGCAAAUAUCGUGGGUCAUACCCGACCCAAAACUUAGGGACUGGAUCAAAGUCUCGUUGAGUCAUAAACUGAUGCUGGUUUGUACCGAGUUAUACGAGAUAAACCGGUUCGGUUCGGGAGGAGAUGGGUUUAAUGUCAGAUAUACCUCUGAAGAUAUAGGAAAUUACUUGUCGGAUCUUUACUUUGGAAGCAGAGGGUCCGGGUCAGGGAGUGUCUCGACUAAAGGAUCCGGAUCCGGAACCGGAACCGGUUCGUCGAGUACCGGUAAAUCUCGGGGAGGACGUAGCCAUUGAAUGAGAAUCAUGCAUGAUCCUAUCGUUUUCUUCUUUUUUGUACAUAUAUGCUAAAUUAAUAUUGACUGAAUUCUCCAUUCUAUCAUUUAGUAAUCCUUCUUUUUUUAUUUUUGGAAUUUUGUGUUAAUAAACGACAAAAUAAAAUACGAUGAUUAUAUCCGACGCUUGGAGAUUUAAUAAGAACAAAGACGAGUUAUAAGUAGCUAUCACUCAUCACUAAUUGCUAGUUGUAAUUUGGAAUUGUGUUUCCAGUCUUGACUAAUUGUGAUUUGGUGGUUUAUAUAACUCCAAGUUGGUUAAUACGAGUUCACAUGGUUAUGAGACAAUACAAGUAAAAGAAUAUUAAAUACGAAUUCAAUGACACAUUGCUUACCGAAUAAGCACGGAGCAUUGCAUUAAAUUUGUAAGUUGUUAACGAGACAGAGAGGUUGAGAACGAUCACGAAUCUUAUCAUACUACUCAUUAAUGUUUCUUGUUAGGCGACUUGGUAUAUUCAACCUCACGUUGUAAUUUUAUAUAAACGUCAAAGAUAUCUAAUCUUAUAUAAAUCAAAGAUAUUCAAGUCCUCGCGUUAUAUUUCUUUUGCAAUUGUCCAUAUGUCUAAACUAAAUUUUGAUCGAUAGAAAUGUCAUUCCCAAGAAUAAUUAUAUCUGAUAAUGUUUAGUUUACAUGAAAAGAAAUUAAAACAUCCCAAUCUUUUUUUGCUAGUGAAUCUGUGUGAAUCAUCCCUGCUCAUGGAGAUAUGGAUCACUAGGCCUGAGCGUUUUUAACUCAACCCGAAGUACCUACCUAGAUCUGAACCGGAAAAACCGAAACCGAAUCCGAACUGUUAUACAAAAAUAUCCGAACGGGACUUAUGAGCUUAGUACUUUGGUGUUUGGUUAUAAUCCGAACCGAACCGACAUCCGAACUAGGAUCCGAAGAUAUCUGAAAUUAGUUAAAUAUGUUAAUAUUUUUAUAUAUUUAAGAUGAUUUAGAUAUUUUAGGAUAUUCAAAAUAUUUUUUUAGUUUGUUUUAAUUGUUAUUUUGAAUACUUUUUAGUUAAUUUAGAUAGUUUAACUAAUUUUUAAUUAUAUUUGUAAACAAUUUAUAUAUUUUGAAAACAAAAUUGUCAAUUUUUAAGGUUUAAACAAAAAUAUUUUUGGACGAUUUUAAACAUUGGUUACAUCCAAUCCGAACCGAAUCCGAAAGGAACCGAAGAGGAGCUCUACUCCUCUCCGGUGUCCGUGCGAAUCGCGUGGGUGAUUCUUCUCACUCUUUGCAAGAUCGACGGCAAAGCUCAGCCGUAUAAAGACGUGGCUCUGUCUUACCUCUUCCUCGCUAAUAAUCUCCAAUACGUCGUCGUAAAGGUUCGAACGUCUAACGUGAAGCUCCUCCUCGGGGAGGAUUGGGUGGUGAGGCACGAGGGGAAGGUGAAGCAGUACGCGGAUAAGUUCGAGAAGCUCGCGUGGGGGAAAGUG
Molecule: long non-coding RNA, 15380 nt
Filed under: Brassica napus (rape)
Lineage: Eukaryota; Viridiplantae; Streptophyta; Magnoliopsida; Brassicales; Brassicaceae
Description: long non-coding RNA (BNAP_LNC001187)
Source: RNAcentral